RNAcentral lists this ribosomal RNA (940 nucleotides) under Salmonella enterica subsp. enterica serovar Kentucky. Its description in RNAcentral is "partial 23S ribosomal RNA". It matches the Rfam family "Bacterial large subunit ribosomal RNA", at positions 611 to 1554 of the family's 2925-position model. Lineage: Bacteria; Pseudomonadati; Pseudomonadota; Gammaproteobacteria; Enterobacterales; Enterobacteriaceae. The record is from RNAcentral.
UAUAAUGGGUCAGCGACUUAUAUUCUGUAGCAAGGUUAACCGUAUAGGGGAGCCGAAGGGAAACCGAGUCUUAACUGGGCGUUAAGUUGCAGGGUAUAGACCCGAAACCCGGUGAUCUAGCCAUGGGCAGGUUGAAGGUUGGGUAACACUAACUGGAGGACCGAACCGACUAAUGUUGAAAAAUUAGCGGAUGACUUGUGGCUGGGGGUGAAAGGCCAAUCAAACCGGGAGAUAGCUGGUUCUCCCCGAAAGCUAUUUAGGUAGCGCCUCGUGAACUCAUCUUCGGGGGUAGAGCACUGUUUCGGCUAGGGGGUCAUCCCGACUUACCAACCCGAUGCAAACUGCGAAUACCGAAGAAUGUUAUCACGGGAGACACACGGCGGGUGCUAACGUCCGUCGUGAAGAGGGAAACAACCCAGACCGCCAGCUAAGGUCCCAAAGUCACAGUUAAGUGGGAAACGAUGUGGGAAGGCUCAGACAGCCAGGAUGUUGGCUUAGAAGCAGCCAUCAUUUAAAGAAAGCGUAAUAGCUCACUGGUCGAGUCGGCCUGCGCGGAAGAUGUAACGGGGCUAAACUGUGCACCGAAGCUGCGGCAGCGACGCUUAUGCGUUGUUGGGUAGGGGAGCGUUCUGUAAGCCUGCGAAGGUGUCCUGUGAGGGAUGCUGGAGGUAUCAGAAGUGCGAAUGCUGACAUAAGUAACGAUAAUGCGGGUGAAAAGCCCGCUCGCCGGAAGACCAAGGGUUCCUGUCCAACGUUAAUCGGGGCAGGGUGAGUCGACCCCUAAGGCGAGGCCGAAAGGCGUAGUCGAUGGGAAACGGGUUAAUAUUCCCGUACUUGGUGUUACUGCGAAGGGGGGACGGAGAAGGCUAUGUUGGCCGGGCGACGGUUGUCCCGGUUUAAGCGUGUAGGCUGGUUUUCCAGGCAAAUCCGGAAAAUCAAG